ACCUAGUCAUAAGGGAGGCAGCAGUAGGGAAUAUUCCGCAAUGGGCGAAAGCCUGACGGAGCAACGCCGCGUGAGUGAUGAAGGUCUUCGGAUUGUAAAACUCUGUUAUUAGGGAAGAACAUAUGUGUAAGUAACUGUGCACAUCUUGACGGUACCUAAUCAGAAAGCCACGGCUAACUACGUGCCAGCAGCCGCGGUAAUACGUAGGUGGCAAGCGUUAUCCGGAAUUAUUGGGCGUAAAGCGCGCGUAGGCGGUUUUUUAAGUCUGAUGUGAAAGCCCACGGCUCAACCGUGGAGGGUCAUUGGAAACUGGAAAACUUGAGUGCAGAAGAGGAAAGUGGAAUUCCAUGUGUAGCGGUGAAAUGCGCAGAGAUAUGGAGGAACACCAGUGGCGAAGGCGACUUUCUGGUCUGUAACUGACGCUGAUGUCGAAAAACCGGUG
Molecule: ribosomal RNA, 442 nt
Filed under: Staphylococcus aureus
Lineage: Bacteria; Bacillati; Bacillota; Bacilli; Caryophanales; Staphylococcaceae
Description: bacterial SSU rRNA
Rfam family: Bacterial small subunit ribosomal RNA
Source: RNAcentral